ACCGCUAACAGUGAAAUAAACACGAGACGGGCGAUGUCUGACGUGUUUCCCUCCCAGAAGUCUUCAUAUGAAAUCUACACCACUGCAGGACCAGCAGAAAGGCGGUCAUCCUGAAGCAGGCGGGAAGAGAGACUCAAUGAAGUAUGCUGAUGUCCAAUGAUCGCAGCAUGAUCCUUGAUGUGUUCAAUGUAUUCUACUUUCCAUGGGGCAGAAAGACCUGCAUCCUAAAAUACAGUCUUUGACAAACCUAUCUGGUUAAAAAGUAAAAAACGUCUCUAGGUUACGUAUGUAACUCUAGUUCCUCGAGGGAACGAGGC
Molecule: long non-coding RNA, 317 nt
Organism: Cyprinus carpio (common carp)
Lineage: Eukaryota; Metazoa; Chordata; Actinopteri; Cypriniformes; Cyprinidae
Source: RefSeq, a predicted model, not a curated record